AUUGAACGCUGGCGGCAGGCUUAACACAUGCAAGUCGAGCGGGGGAAGGUAGCUUGCUACCGGACCUAGCGGCGGACGGGUGAGUAAUGCUUAGGAAUCUGCCUAUUAGUGGGGGACAACAUCUCGAAAGGGAUGCUAAUACCGCAUACGUCCUACGGGAGAAAGCAGGGGAUCUUCGGACCUUGCGCUAAUAGAUGAGCCUAAGUCAGAUUAGCUAGUUGGUGGGGUAAAGGCCUACCAAGGCGACGAUCUGUAGCGGGUCUGAGAGGAUGAUCCGCCACCCUGGGACUGAGACACGGCUCAGACUCCUACGGGAGGCAGCAGUGGGGAAUAUUGGACAAUGGGGGGAACCCUGAUCCAGCCAUGCCGCGUGUGUGAAGAAGGCCUUAUGGUUGUAAAGCACUUUAAGCGAGGAGGAGGCUACUCUAGUUAAUACCUAGGGAUAGUGGACGUUACUCGCAGAAUAAGCACCGGCUAACUCUGUGCCAGCAGCCGCCGUAA
This 501-nucleotide ribosomal RNA is filed under the name uncultured bacterium. RNAcentral's name for it is "partial 16S ribosomal RNA". It matches the Rfam family "Bacterial small subunit ribosomal RNA", at positions 30 to 523 of the family's 1533-position model. The record is from RNAcentral.